GCAAACAGUGUGCUAGGUACUACAUUCCAACGAGCUCAACGAUCUCAGGUGAUAAUACACACGGGAAAAAGAGGAGCAUAAUGGGUUAUAACCUGCCAUAAAAUCCGACAGGAUUGCAAGCAAGGUAGGCAGUCUAAAUGCAGAUCCAAGGAGACACAAGGUCUCAGUUAGACGUACCUCAACGAAAGUAGUUAUUCAAGGCGGAUUAAGCAAGCUACAGAACUUCCUGCACUCUGGAUGUCCUGGUUUUGGCUGGGAUGGAGGACACUGGACAAGGCUAGUUACAACCUUGCUCAUUUAGAGCACUGAAGGUAGAAGCCAACAAAGCCACCACCAACUCAACGUGGUUAUCAAGUUAUCAGCUACAGAGGAACCUGCUCCUGCAGCUGUGAAGAGUCCACACAAGGACAGUGGCACAGCCUUUCUUUGAGACACAAGACUCUGUCUUUAGCUCAAAGUAUGAAGUCUGUCUAUGGAGAGAUUUUAUUAUCUGAGUACCCAGCAGUGGUUAAUAAGAUGUCUCAAGACACCUACUUCUUGCUUUCCCACGUGUGCUGUCCAUCACCUUCUUCUUAUGUACUCUUCUUUAUUCCCUGAAGGCCAUUUCUAGUAUGGACUUGUCCCUGUGUCUCCAUUUUCUCUGUCCCAUCUUUCUGAGACUUUUCCUUCCUGAAACCAAGCUCAUUUCCUCACCCAGCUAAGUCUCAGUUUUGAACUGAACUGCAA
Long non-coding RNA from Melopsittacus undulatus (budgerigar), 726 nucleotides. RefSeq lists it as uncharacterized. Lineage: Eukaryota; Metazoa; Chordata; Aves; Psittaciformes; Psittaculidae. The transcript is spliced from 4 exons. The record is from RefSeq and is a predicted model, not a curated record.